CUUAAUUUAGAAUAUCUAAUUAUUUAUGUUAUUUUGUGACCAAAAUUUAUUGUCAUUUUGUUACUUAGGGUUUCUUAAAUGUUUAAAUCCAUUUAAAUGUCCAUUUUAUAUAAAUGUCUAGAAGCUGCAGAAUCUGCUUGAUUUCUGUUGUCAAUCUGUCAGCAGAUUAUGUUAGCAGACUCUGCUUGGUUUCUGCCAAUCUGCCGCCAAGUUAUGUCAACAAAGUCUAUUCAAAUUUUUCUGCCAAUGUCGACUUAUUAUAUUAACAGAUACUGCCGGCAAAACAUUAGCUGAAUGGAAAUGCAGUUAAUGUCAGUUUGCUAACAGAUUUUGAUUAAAUCUGCUACCAAUCUGUCGUCAUACUGCUAACAUUUUGCUUAAGGGGAAGAUAAUAGCAUAUUAUCUCUUCUUCGACCACAUCCCUGUUUUUAUAAAUUACCAAGAACGCUUCUCGAUACACCUCGUAGACAUGCUGUUGUUUCUAAUGUAGAACCAGGAGAAUAUAUUCAUUUUGAUGUUAAAGCAGGAAUGUUGCCUUUUUCCAACAACACAUCGAUGGAUGAUAGCAACAGUGAUGGAGAAAAUAAUUUGGAAACGUUGCAAUAUAUUGUCGCUAUUAUUAUACACAGCGAGAAAAUGGACUUACAGAUAGGCCGAAGCGCAAUAUUUCUAAACCGUUGUGUUAUCACACAACUUCUUCAGACGAAAGUCCGAAACGAAGAAAUAUCGCAUCAAUUACAGAGAUUGAUAUCGACAAGGACAUCGACAAUUUAAGAAAAAUUGGAUAAAAUAUAACGAAAUUAAUUAUUUUUUUCUUCGAUUACAUACACUACAAAACCAAACAUCAUACAUACGCGCAAGCAUUUUCAAAAAAACAAAUGAACUACACACAAAUGUUGAGUCAUACACAGAAAUUUAACUAUCAAAAAAUAUUUCAUAUAACAAAUAAUAAUCACGCACACACAGAUAUUCAAUCACAUACGAACAUUGAAGCACAUGAUAUAAACAGUCAAACAUAUAUAGAUUUUCAAUCAUACAAUAGCGUACAAUACAAAUAAUCAAACACACAGAGGUAUUCAACUGCACACAAGCAUUCAAUCAUAACACAAUAAUCAAACACACAGAGGUAUUCAACUGCACACAAGCAUUCAAUCAUGCAGCAUAAAUAAUAAAGCACACACAGACAUAUUCUGCAUAUAAGCAGCCAAACAUGUACUACAAACAAUCGAGCACACAUAAACAUUCAACCGCACACAAUUAUUCACACCCAACAAAUUCAUCACAUACAUCUCAAAACACUUGUGCUGCCAAUGUGUCGCAGGUGUCACAUACGUUACACACAUAUUCUUCCACACACAAUAACACAUCAAACAUAGACAGUAGAAAAACUAUGUACACUAAUGAUAUGUUCUUCGAGUUACAGGAUAAUUUGGCAAACAUCUCCCCAGGACAGUAUAUAGUCAAAGAAGAUAGGUUCAACAAGGAUCGGCUCAUGGUCAGCAUAUCUUAACACACGCUGAAACAAGAGACAAUGGGUAAAUUCAAAUAUUUGUACAAAAUAAAUAAUAUGAAUUUAAUAAAAAUACUGAUUCUAUAUAAUAUUAAAAGUAACAGUCUUAUCUGUUUAAAGUUACCUGUAAAUGUUAUUUAAUCUUUGCAAAAGAAUGGAUAGCUGCAUGGAAGACAUAGAGGAAGAGCUGAAGUAAAUGUCAAAUAUGUAUCGUAUUUAUUAAUAUGUGACAUAUCUCUAUUAUGACAUUCUUGUAAUAUUGGUUUGUUUGUAGACGAAUAAAUACUGUUAUGGAAAAAAUAUUAAAAUGUAUGCAGCAUCGUCGUCAACCAAUACAUAAGCCAGCUAUCCUCCCCAUAUCAUCUAUAACAGAAAUGAAUACAUUUGAAAGGACGAGGGACAUUAUUCUGACGUCAUAAGUGAAACGUGUAUACUUUUUAUAAUUUUUAUAUAAUAUAUUUAUUUUUAUUAAUAAUUUUUACUUACUUUGUGUAGGUCAAUUAUUUGAGUUAUAUCGGCGGUUUUAAUUUAAAAGAGAUCAUAAACUUUUGUUUUAAGGAAGCUGUUAAAGAUUCUUUAACACCAUUGUUUACUUGGUAUGACCGCGGCGAGGAAGGAUGAUCCUUAUAUAAUGCUCGUCUCAUACUCAUCUAUGGCGAUUUACGGUGCAAUUUUUCUAUUUAUGUACACAUAUAAUUGUUAUAACAUAGUCCCAUUAAUAAUAAUGUAUCUUGCGUUUUUUGUUUUUUUUAGAGGCUAUAUGUUCUAACCAGCACUUCGAGAAACCGACUCGAUCGGAGUUUCAGCAACAUUUUAGAGAAACUCUCCGUACAGCAAAAGAACGACUGAGGCACAGAAUGCGAGAUCCACGCACGCGGCCAAUCAAUCGCGAGAGGAUUAACCGCGACUUAUGGAAUGAUGAGCAGCCGGAUAAUGUCGUUGAGUAAGGACUAACGAGGAACCACGAGGAAAAUUAAAAAAUACUUCGCAUUUUAUUUGUACAGAUGUCCGCAGCAGAAGGAAUCGGCAUGAAAGAGAGAAGAAAGAAGAAACCAAUCGGCACUUUUCAGUGCAACUUUAAAUAUUUUCGUUGGAUCAUUUUGGAUAAUCGGCACUUUUCAGUGCCACUUUAAAUAAUUUCAUUGGAUCAUUUCGGAUAAUCGGCACUUUUCCGCAUUUUUCGAAAAUAUAUCCGUACAGGCCAUUUCAAGAUAUAAGUAAUAUUAAAAUUAUUCUUAUUAUUCUAUAUUAAAUAUUGUAUAAUUUAUUGUUAUUUAUUAUUUUUAUUAUUAUUAUUUUUAUUGUGUUAACUUAUUUAUUGUAUUAACUUAUAUAAUUAUUAUAUAUUGCAUUUAAUUAUUCGCGAUUGAUAUAAAUAUUGCGCUGUAUGAAGAU
Molecule: long non-coding RNA, 2905 nt
Organism: Cataglyphis hispanica
Lineage: Eukaryota; Metazoa; Arthropoda; Insecta; Hymenoptera; Formicidae
Exons: 5
Source: RefSeq, a predicted model, not a curated record